This 233-nucleotide non-coding RNA is filed under the name Triticum aestivum (bread wheat). RNAcentral's name for it is "Bacterial large subunit ribosomal RNA". It matches the Rfam family "Bacterial large subunit ribosomal RNA", at positions 2656 to 2912 of the family's 2925-position model. Lineage: Eukaryota; Viridiplantae; Streptophyta; Magnoliopsida; Poales; Poaceae. The record is from Rfam by way of RNAcentral.
GGAGAACUGCGAGGAGCCAGCCCUAGUACGAGAGGACUGGCUGGGUCAACCUGUGGUGUACCGGUUGUUAUGCCAAGAGCAGCGCCGGGCAGCUAAGUUGGUAUGGAAGAACUGCUGUGCCGUGGGAAAUCCUUCUCUAUACAAGUUCUCGUACGAGGUCUUUGAACAGAACUUCGAUAGGCGAGAGGUGUAAGCACCGCGAGGUGUGAAGCGAUCUCGUACUAAACGAAUGG